AUAGAUAUGGUGAAAAAACACAAUUGACUCAGGAUCAAUAAAAUGUAGGCAACUCCUACUAUCUAAA
Molecule: transfer RNA, 67 nt
Filed under: Iphiteon panicea
Lineage: Eukaryota; Metazoa; Porifera; Hexactinellida; Hexactinosida; Dactylocalycidae
Description: tRNA-Leu
Rfam family: tRNA
About the family: Transfer RNA (tRNA) molecules are approximately 80 nucleotides in length. Their secondary structure includes four short double-helical elements and three loops (D, anti-codon, and T loops).
Source: RNAcentral